GUAGAGUAAGCAUUGCGCGUAAAGUGGCAAGCGGCUGGGAAGUUGCCCUUGCACGAAAGGCCCCCGUGAAAUUGGGCCUACGAUGUAAUGCUGCAUCCGCUA
Molecule: non-coding RNA, 102 nt
Filed under: human gut metagenome
Description: THF riboswitch
Rfam family: THF (Tetrahydrofolate) riboswitch aptamer
About the family: THF riboswitch presents a pseudoknot that joins P1-P2 and the loop of P3 and two THF binding.
Source: RNAcentral